AGAUUUAAUUCCAAAACAAUGUGAAUUAUCGGGAUCUUGUCAAAUAGGUUUGCUUCGAAAUAGGCAUGUUCUGAUCAAAUGUGAUCUAAUGGAAGAUUAUAUUAAAAUUCUAUCGAAAAACUCCUACUACAUAAUUGCUAAGGAUGGAUAUGCAUAUCAAAUGAGGCCUUUUAUCUAUGAUGCAAACUUCAAAGCUGGUGAAGAGACAACAAAGGCCACGACCUGGAUUUCAUUCCCUGAUUUGCUGCCAACAUUCUUUGUUAAGGAAGUCUUGUUCUCACUGGCUUCUGUGGUUGGGAAGCCUCUUCAAUUGGAUCUUGCUACAAUAAAUAAGACCCGGCCAAGUUGUGCAAGAGUGAAGGUCCAAGUGCAUUUGCUUACUGAAAAACCUGAGUUUGUACAAAUGCAGUUAGAAGAUGAAAACACUCUUGAGAAAAGAGUUGUUACUGUGAGAAUACAUUAUGAUUCUUUACCUGCAUAUUGCAUGAAGUGUAAAUUACAGGGGCAUGGUGAAGAAGAUUGUAGGGUCUUACAUCCAGAGCUAGUACAACAGCACGAAGACAUACAAAAUACAACACAACCCAUAGACAACAAACAAUUAUACAAGGGUGUAGUAAAGAGCAUAUGGAAGCCUACAAACAGGAGUUUUACAAAGAAAGUUGGGGAAUUGAUGACUGUUAAGGGACUGGAAAGGACAGACAUCAACAAGAACAGUAAUCUUUUUGCUAUUCUUAGUCAAAAUGUUCUAGUGGAGGAAGAGGUUGUAGAUGUAAAGGUGCAAAAUCAGAAGCAGAUAGAUGGGGUGAAGGAUACACGAAUUGAGAUUACUCAUGGGCUAACCAACAAGACUGAAGAGGAAAUCGAAAUUACAAACAAAGAAGAUGGAGAAAGAAUUGUGGUUUGUGGAAAAAAUGAUGGGGUGGUUUCUGAUUACAGCAAAGCUAUUGUGCUUUUUAAUGGAUGGGUUAACAGUGCAGUACAGAGAGGAUAGGACAAGGAAGAGGAAAUUUCACAGAAUCAGUUAUCUACUAGACAGAAUCUACAACAAGCUGAUUAUCAUGCUCCUUUACAGAUUAUGGACCCACAAGAAGCAUGGUAUCCUGUACAACUACAAGGUUCUAUAUUACAGGGAGGGAGUGAGGAAGAUCACAAUCUGAAAGAGCUGGCAGUGGUCUGUCCAAAAUCACAACCAGUUCAAACAUUACAUGAAAUAGUAUCACAUCAAGGGGUAAUGGAUGUACAGGGUAAAGGGCUCAAACAGUCUAGUGAUGUUGAAGAUACGGAUGAAAAGGAGAACUUACAGGUUGAGAACAUGGUGUUUAAUGAAGCAUGUGUUUCAUCUGCUACAGUAAUCACACAUAAAGGCAAGAAUAAAUGGGAAGUGCUACCCACAAGAUCAAAUCCAAGGAAAGGGGCUAGAAAUGGGGUCAAAUGAUGUUAAAAUCCUUAUUUUGGAAUGUGAGGUCAGUUAGAUCUCAAAAUUCAUUCCAUAGAAUUCAGAUAUUACAUAGAUAUCACAAGUUUAAUAUCAUAGCAUUGAUAGAACCUUUUCAGAAUAUUGAUAACAUUCAAAGAUUUAAAAGAAGAUUGGGUAUGGAGUAUUCUAACUAUAACUGCAAUGGUAAAAUAUGGGUGUUCAUUCAAGAGCAUAUUCAGGUUGAGGUGUUGGCGGAUUCUGAUCAGAUGCUGACUCUGAAAUUGUUGUUUCUGGAGAAUAAUCAACAUUUAAUUGUUUCUAUUGUAUAUGCAAAGUGUGAAGCUGAGGAGAGGCUGCAACUAUGGAAUGAUAUCUACUGUAUUAGCAAUGUUAUUCAGAAUUCACCCUGGCUGAUUGGGGAGGAUUUUAAUGUCAUCAUGAGUGAAGAAGAGAAGAUUGGUGGUCUGCCUAUAUAUCCUAAUGAGUAUGAGGAUUUUGCAUUUUGUGUGAACUCCUGUGAUCUGGUGGAUAUCAGUUUUAAAGGGAGUCCUUUUACAUUGUGGAAUGGGAGGAUUGAUGAUCAAUGUAUAUUUAAGAGACUGGAUAGGUACACGAUGAACCAGGCUGGUCUAAUCUAUUUUGGGUUGGUGGAAUCUAAACAUCUGGCAAGAACAGGGUCUGAUCAUGCUCCUAUACUACUAACUUGUGGCCAGAAGACAGAGGUUACUAGGAGACCUUUCAGAUUUCUUAAGUUUUGGUCAGAACAUGCAGAAUUUCAGCAGAUAGUGAAGGAUAACUGGGUUUCAGAAGAAGCAGAUGUGUUUAUUAGAUUGAAACAAAAGAUGAAGAAGACUAAAACUGCCUUAUCUAACUGGAGUAGAGUAACUUUUGGAGAUAUUUUCAAACAGUUAUCUAUCAGGGAGGAGAUUGUAAGGGUGAAGGAGGUGUUAUUUGAAACAAGCCCUACAACAGAAAAUAGAAAGAUUUUACAGAAAGCCCAAGCAGAAUUAAAAAUGUAUGUGCAUUUUGAAGAAGAGUAUUGGAGACAGAAGGCAGGUAUUCAAUGGUUUACAGAAGGGGAGAAAAACACAAGGUUCUUUCACAGUUUAGUGAGAGGCAGAAGGAAAAGAUUGAGCAUAAACAGAAUUCAGAGUAAGGAAGGAGUAUGGGUAGAAGGUGAAGAGCUAGUGGCUGUUGCUGCUCAAGAGUAUUUUCAUAAAGCAAUUCACAGGCAUUCAGACUAUGGAGGUAUCCCCUCUAUUGAGAUAUAUUCAGAAAAGGGCUAUUGAUGAAGACAACAAAAGAUUAAAUGAUUAUCCUUCAAUGGAGGAAGUCAAAAAAGUGGUGUUUGAUCUCAAUGGGGACAGUGUUAAUGGUCCUGAUGGGUUUACUGGACAUUUUUUCCAACAAUGUUGGGAUAUAGUUAGGGAUGAUGUGGUUAAUGUGGUUGGUGCUUUCUUUAAAGGUGUCACCCUUCCGAAGUCUAUUACACAUACUAAUUUGGUAUUAAUUCCUAAGAAAGAUAUUUGUCAAUCUUUCUCAAACAUGAGGCCAAUUAGUUUGAGUAAUUUUCUUAAUAAAGUGAUUUCUAGGGUGAUGAAUGAUAGAGUAGGGGUUCUUCUUCCAUCCCUGAUUUCACAAAAUUAGUCUGGCUUUGUGAAAGGAAGAAACAUCACUGAAAAUGUGUUGCUUGCUCAGGAGAUUAUUUCAGAUAUCAGAAAAAGGGGUAAGCCAGCUAAUGUAGUGAUCAAGCUGGAUAUGGCAAAAGCAUAUGAUAGGGUGGAUUGGAGAUUUCUUAUAAAAGUGCUAGAAGGAAUGGGCUUUGAUGCUAAUUUUGUUGAUAAAGUCUGGAGACUGGUUGCUAACAACUGGUAUUCUAUACUUAUCAAUGGUCAAGCUACUGGGUUUUUUCAUUCAUCUAGGGGAGUGAAGCAAGGGGAUCCUCUAUCCCCUGCUUUGUUCAUACUAUCAGCUGAAGUUCUAUCUCGAAGCUUAAAUGCUUUGUUCUGUAAUGAGGUGUACAAGGGAUUUGGACUACCAAAAUGGAGUGAUCAUAUUAAUCAUCUUGCAUAUGCAGAUGAUACUAUUAUUUUUACUUCAGAAGAUGGUAAUUCAUUAGAUGUAUUGAUGAAAACUCUGAGAGAUUAUGAGAAGCAGUCAGGGCAGAUGAUUAAUAUAGAAAAGAGCUCUUUUUUUGUCUUUCAUAAUACAUCACAUGAUUUGGUAUCUAAUAUAGAAGUGAAAACUGGCUUUGCUAGAGGUAAGUUUCCACUAAUGUAUUUGGGAUGCCCAAUUGGUCAUGCCAAGAAGAAGAAGGUACACUUUGCAGAAUUGAUGAAAAAAGUGCACAACAAGCUGCAAGCUUGGAAAGGGAAGAUGUUGUCAUUUGGAGGUAAGGCUGUGUUGAUUCAUAAUGUGCUAAACAGCAUACCUAUUUAUCAUGUCUGCUAUUAAUCCACUGAGAUGUGUUAUUCAUGAUUUGCAUAGAGUUUUUGCAAAUUUUUUUUGGAGAUUUAGGAAGGAAGGAAAUAACAAGCAUUGGGUAGCUUGAUCAGAUUUAUGUAGACCAAGCAUGAAGGUGGUGUGGGAUUUAGAUCUUUGUUUGAUAUAUCCAAAGCUUUAUUUGCUAAAUUAUGGUGGGGCUUUAGAACAAGAAAGACUCUUUGGUCUAAUUUUAUGUGGAAUAAAUACUAUAAAAAGGAGAGACCUCAGGUGGUUGAAUGGAAAAAUGGAUCUUUAACUUGGAAGUAUAUGCUGGAAGCUAGAGAUUUGAUAGAUCAACAUAUUUGGUGGGAACCUAAGUGUGGCCAUUCAAGUAUUUGGUAUGAUAAUUGGUCACAAUUAGGUGCACUACAUUACAUAGUUCCUAUAGACAGUGCUAGAAAUGUGCAAUUGGAUGAAGUGAAACAAUGCUUUUGGAAUGGGGAAUGGAACUAUGAUUUGCUUCAAACAAAUUUUGGGAAUGAUAUCAGUAGACAAGUUAUACAACUCAUGAGAAGUUUAGAAGAUGAAGAACAAUGGGAUAAACCCUGGUGGAUUCUACAGACUUCUGGAAAAUUCAUUGUGGGUUCUACAUGGUAUUUCCUAAGGGAGAAGCAUGAGGUCUAUUUGAAAUAUAAGUAUAUCUGGAGUGCAGGAAUUCCUUUUAAGAUAUCUUUCUUCAAUUGGAGGCUAUGGAAACAAAGAAUUCCUAUUGGAGAAGUUCUUGUCAGGAACAGGAUGAGUGAUGGGGUAGUGUGUGGUUGCUGUGAUGAUGGAGUUCAGGAGACUAUUGAACAUUUAUUUAUUAGAUGUUCAUUCACUAAUUUUAUAUGGAGAUAUUUUGCAGGAUCGGCAGGUGUGGAGGGCCCUUUCUUGCAGUUGAAAGAUACCGUGUAUAAAUGGUGGAAUGCAGAUGCUUCUGCAAAACUGAAACCCGUGUUAAUGGUUGUGCCACUGUUUAUUUGUUGGCAAGUGUGGAAGAGAAGAAAUGCCUUGAAAUUUGGUGGUUCAAUGUCUUAUCUGAGUAUGCGAGAAGGGGUAGCAAAUAAUUUAAUUCUAUUGGCUAAGCAGUUGUAUCCGUGGAUGCAUCACCUACCUAAUAACUGGCCUGAUUUGGUCAGAUAUUUGACAGCGUAUACUCCUAGAAUUGAUUGUAAGGUGGUCUAUUGGAAAUUACCUAGACAGAAUACAUUCAAAUGCAAUACAGAUGGGUCUUCAAAAGGGAAUCCAGGACCAAGCUCUUCUGCUUUCUGUAUUAGAGAUGAUCAAGGCAAUUUUGUGUAUGCUGAAGGAAAUAUGAUUGGACUAUCAAACAAUUUAAGUGCUGAAAUUGUAGCUAUAAGACUAGGGCUGGAAUAUUGUAGGAAUAACAAUUUAUUCCCACUGAUUAUAGAAACUAAUUCUUUAGCUGCAAUGAAAAUGGUUGAAGGGGUUUGGCACAGACCUUGGGAGGUGACUAUGGAGGUCAGAAGGAUACAGAUUCUGAAAGAUGGAUUGGAGGUGGCCAUUGUACACACAUUGAGAGAGGGAAACAAACUGGCAGAUUUUAUGGCUAAUAUUGUGUUCUCUUUUGCAGGUACAGAUUCUAUAUGUUAUAAUGAUUUCCAAGAUCUACCUAGUGAAGCAAAGACAAUUCUAAAUAUGGAUAAAAGUCAAAUUCCUAAUCUAAGGAUAAGGAAGUUUCAGAAUGGAGAUUUUGCACAAGAUUGAUGUUUCAGAUAAGAACAUACGAAGGAGCAGGUAUUUCAGGCUUAAAAAUACAACAGUCAUACAAUACUCUGAAGGUUGCGAGUGUAGUGAGUUAUAAUUACAAAGGCAAUGAGUGAAUUUCAGAACAAGGAAAAAACAUAAACAGUUGCAGUACAACAUCCAUACAACACUCUGAAGAUUACGCAUAUUGGGAUCAUAUUUGGCUGGAUAACGGUACAAAGCCAUGAGCAAAUUUCAGAACAAUGACAAUAAAUAAACAGGUUACAUGUUAAGGAAAAUACCUAUGAAGGCUGCAGUAACCUCGUUGCGAAGCUCUCGACAGUGGUAUUAGCUCCUUGUUGAGCUCAACCUGCCAAAGCUAAGGGAUGAAGGUUGUGAGAUCAGUAUUAGGUAUAUGAUGAACAAAUUUGCAUAGGGAGUGAGGCUAUCACCUGAUUUGAAGUCUCGAUUGAAG
Molecule: long non-coding RNA, 6062 nt
Filed under: Solanum tuberosum (potato)
Lineage: Eukaryota; Viridiplantae; Streptophyta; Magnoliopsida; Solanales; Solanaceae
Description: long non-coding RNA (STUB_LNC003789)
Source: RNAcentral